ACGAACGCUGGCGGCGUGCUUAACACAUGCAAGUCGCACGGAAAGGCCCUGCUUUUGUGGGGUACUCGAGUGGCGAACGGGUGAGUAACACGUGAGUAACCUGCCCUUGACUUUGGGAUAACUUCAGGAAACUGGGGCUAAUACCGGAUAGGAGCUCCUGCUGCAUGGUGGGGGUUGGAAAGUUUCGGCGGUUGGGGAUGGACUCGCGGCUUAUCAGCUUGUUGGUGGGGUAGUGGCUUACCAAGGCUUUGACGGGUAGCCGGCCUGAGAGGGUGACCGGCCACAUUGGGACUGAGAUACGGCCCAGACUCCUACGGGAGGCAGCAGUGGGGAAUAUUGCACAAUGGGCGGAAGCCUGAUGCAGCAACGCCGCGUGCGGGAUGACGGCCUUCGGGUUGUAAACCGCUUUCGCCUGUGACGAAGCGUGAGUGACGGUAAUGGGUAAAGAAGCACCGGCUAACUACGUG
Molecule: ribosomal RNA, 467 nt
Filed under: uncultured bacterium
Lineage: Bacteria
Description: partial 16S ribosomal RNA
Rfam family: Bacterial small subunit ribosomal RNA
Source: RNAcentral